AACGAACGCUGGCGGCAGGCUUAACACAUGCAAGUCGAACGGGCACCUUCGGGUGUCAGUGGCAGACGGGUGAGUAACGCGUGGGAACGUACCCUUCGGUUCGGAAUAACCCAGGGAAACUUGGGCUAACACCGGAUACGUCCGCAAGGAGAAAGAUUUAUCGCCGAAGGAUCGGCCCGCGUCGGAUUAGCUAGUUGGUGGGGUAAUGGCCCACCAAGGCGACGAUCCGUAGCUGGUCUGAGAGGAUGAUCAGCCACACUGGGACUGAGACACGGCCCAGACUCCUACGGGAGGCAGCAGUGGGGAAUAUUGGACAAUGGGCGAAAGCCUGAUCCAGCCAUGCCGCGUGAGUGAAGAAGGCCUUAGGGUUGUAAAGCUCUUUCAGCGGGAAGAUAAUGACGGUACCCGCAGAAGAAGUCCCGGCUAACUUCGUGCCAGCCGCCGCCGUAAC
Molecule: ribosomal RNA, 451 nt
Filed under: uncultured bacterium
Lineage: Bacteria
Description: bacterial SSU rRNA
Rfam family: Bacterial small subunit ribosomal RNA
Source: RNAcentral